This 600-nucleotide long non-coding RNA is filed under the name Homo sapiens (human). Its description in RNAcentral is "non-protein coding lnc-CLDN11-5:2". The record is from RNAcentral. Lineage: Eukaryota; Metazoa; Chordata; Mammalia; Primates; Hominidae.
AUAUUUCUCUACCUCAUGCAGAAUCUUAGAGCUCUGGCUUUGUGGCUCCAUGGCUGGGGGAGGGAGUGGAGACGGAGGAACUUGUCACUGCUCCAUGCCCCAUUGUUGAAAUGGAAAAUGUGGAAAUGUUAAGCCGUUUCUAGAGGAUUGUGGAAGGGGGAGUUAACUGUGAAGGCACUUAACAAUCUCCUUAUUGAGGAACGCGGGACUUUGUUUCCAAUGGAGGAAUUUCUGGCAUCAGAGAGCAGAUAGGGCAGAGGUGCUUUCUUCUGCGGCUCCUCAAGGCUCACAGCUUGCUAUGGAAGCAUCCUUGGAGGACAUCUCCUUCCCUGCCCUUUCCAUCAACGUUGGUUAAUCCAAUCUCCACCUUCUCUUAAAAGAUUGACAUGACGAGUGAGGAAGCCAAGGACAUUGCAUCCGCAUCUUAAACUUAAUCUCAGUACAUGAAAGGGGCUGCUUUGGAAAUAGAGCUUCAUGAAACAGGGAAAUCCCGUGGCCAGGAAACCCCUCGCUCCUCCCCACCCCACCCUGUGAGGAGUGUCUCCACUAGGAAGGAAAUUAAAUCAGUCUUCCAGCCACCAGAAUUGAAUUGGGAUGGAC